GCCAAAGAUCUAGCCCAACAAACAUGAAUUUAACUAAAAUAACUAAUUUUACUUAAUAAAUCAUUCUAUUCUUUUAGUAAAGGGGAUUGAAAAAUUUUUGGAGCUAUAACUAUAGUACCGCAAGGGAAUGAUGAAAUAUUUUAUGAAAACCUUAAGCAAUAGAAAGUAAUGAUUACCCCAUGUACCUUUUGCAUCAUGGUUUAACUAGUUUAAUCAAGCAAAACGUAUUUUAGUUUGACCUCCCGAAACUAAGUGAGCUACUUCAAGGCAGCUGAAAGAGCUAACCCGUCUCUGUUGCAAAAGGGUGGGACGACCUUCAAGUAGGGGUGACAGACCUACCGAACUUAGUGAUAGCUGGUUACUCAAGAAGAGGAUCUAAGUCCAACCUGAAAUUUCUAUUUAGUCUAUAAAAACAACCUUUCAAAUUUCAGCGUAAUUCAAAUAAGGUACAGCCUAUUUGAAACAGGAUACAACCUAAACCAAUGGAUAAUAUUAGCCUAUUGUACAACCAAGUGGGCCUAAAAGCAGCCAUCUUUAAAAUUGCGUCAAAGCUUAAUUGUUCACACGCCCAAUUACCUAAUUAUCACACGACUCCUUUACCAGACUGAGUAAUUCUAUACCACUAUAGAAAAUUUAAUGUUAAAACUAGUAACAAGAAGAAGACCUUCUCUAAAAUGUAAGUGUAAAUCAGACAGGACAAACCACUGAUAUUUAACAUAUUUGAGCCCAAAGUAAUAACUUAUCAAGAAAACCUUACUCGCACCAAUGUUAAUCUAACACAAGAACAUUCUAAGAAAGAUUAAAAGAAAAAGAAGGAACUCGGCAAAUAAUAACCUCGCCUGUUUACCAAAAACAUCGCCUCUUGACCCCCAUAAGAGGUCCAGCCUGCCCAGUGACUCUGUUCAACGGCCGCGGUAUCCUAACCGUGCGAAGGUAGCGUAAUCACUUGUUCUUUAAUUGUGGACUAGUAUGAAUGGCACCACGAGGGUUAUACUGUCUCCUUUUUCUAAUCAGUGAAACUAAUCUCCCCGUGAAGAAGCGAGGAUAUACCUAUAAGACGAGAAGACCCUAUGGAGCUUAAAACAUUAUAGCAGUUACCAAAUAAUAUUUAACUUCCUGAACAUUUACUUUUAAGGAAAUAUGACUACAAGUUUUUGGUUGGGGUGACCACGGAGUACAAAAUAACCUCCAUAUUGAAAGAAAUAUUUCUAAGCUAAAACCCACACGUUUAAGCAUCAGCACACGACAUUCAUUGACCCAAUAUAAUUGAGCAACGAACCAAGUUACCCUAGGGAUAACAGCGCAAUCCACUUUAAGAGCUCCUAUCGACAAGUGGGUUUACGACCUCGAUGUUGGAUCAGGGUAUCCCAGUGGUGCAGCCGCUACUAAAGGUUCG
This 1396-nucleotide ribosomal RNA is filed under the name Sclerophrys kisoloensis (Kisolo toad). RNAcentral describes it as "partial 16S ribosomal RNA". It matches the Rfam family "Bacterial large subunit ribosomal RNA", at positions 385 to 2575 of the family's 2925-position model. The record is from RNAcentral. Lineage: Eukaryota; Metazoa; Chordata; Amphibia; Anura; Bufonidae.